Long non-coding RNA from Ictalurus punctatus (channel catfish), 622 nucleotides. RefSeq lists it as uncharacterized. NCBI's taxonomy places the organism in Eukaryota, Metazoa, Chordata, Actinopteri, Siluriformes, Ictaluridae. The record is from RefSeq and is a predicted model, not a curated record. The transcript is spliced from 5 exons.
UUGGUCAGGGAGCUGGUGGACUUCCUGGAUCUGGACUUGGAGCUGGUGGACUUCCUGGAUCUGGACUUGGAGCUGGUGGACUUCCUGGAUCUGGACUUGGAACUGGUGGACUUCCUGGCUCUGGUCUUGGAGUUGGUCCUGGAGGAUAUGCUGGAGCCAAAGCACGAAAAUAUGCUCAGCUUGGAGGUCCUGGUGGGGCUUUAGGUGCUGGAGGAUUACCAGGGGGACUUGGGACUGGCGUGCUCCCUGGCUCUGGACUUGGAACUGGUGGACUUCCAGGCUCUGGGCUUGGAACUGGUGUGCUCCCCGGCUCUGGACUUGGAGCUGGUGGACUUCCUGGAUCUGGACUUGGAGCUGGUGGACUUCCUGGAUCUGGACUUGGAACUGGUGGACUUCCUGGCUCUGGUCUUGGAGUUGGUCCUGGAGGAUAUGCUGCAGCCAAAGCACGGAAAUAUGCUCAGCUUGGAGGUUCUGGUGGGACUUUAGGUGCUGGAGGAUUGCCAGGAGGACUUGGAGCUAGUAGCCUUCCAGGCUCUGGACUUGGAACUGGUGGGCUCCCUGGCUCUGGAGUUGGAACUGGUGGACUUCCUGGCUCUGGACUUGGAGCUAGUAGCCUUCCAGG